GCGUCGCUCCCGCCGGGACCGGCCUUCGCCCCGGCGCGCGACCCGACGCAGAAGCCCCCCCAGGCCCCAAGCGCUUCCCCCUGCGCUCUCCGCGCGCGGCCCCCGCCAGCCCUGGCAGCGGCUGGCACCUUCCCGGGGAAACGGAGGCACAAACGUGCGCGGCCCCAGGCGCCUGGCAGGACGCGACACCCCUCGGAGCCUGCAAAAUCCUGGUUAUUCGGGGACCCGCAGGGAGAAGCACCCGCUCGCCCCUCCGCUGGCGGGGCGCCAUCCCCGCUCGGCGGCGGGCUCCGCGGCAAUCCCGGGCGCCGCGGGAGGAGGCUCGGCCCCCCCGAAAGCGGCCCGCGCUCCCGCGGCUGCUGCUGCGGCCGCUGCUCGGGGCGCCGGGGGAAGCGGCUUUCCUGCACGCGCCACCGCUCCUGCUCAGCGAGCGCGAUGCCGAGGAGAAAGCCGAGGAAUAAGGAGCCUUUGUCCCCGCUUUCCCUUAGCGCAUCCUUUCUUCCCCAGGCUACUCGGGGCUCCCCAGCGCGCACAGCUCCCGAGACGGCCACCAGCAGCUUUUCGGACCUAGGAACAAACACGGAGGCAACGGCGGUGCAGAAGGGGUCUGCCAGGGGCUAACGCAGGAGGAGAAAGGGGACACACCGGCGUCCCCGGCCAACGAGCAGACGCGGAAGAGAUGCACGCAGCCAGCCCGGCACGCCUGGCUGCAGCCUCUUGUUUCCCCCUCUAACACCACUGUCACUGCUUAUUCCGCGUUAAAGGUGUUUUAAUCCAUCAAGAGGGCAAAGGUUUAAACAAAAACAUGACACUUAGGAAAACUGGACUGUGCAACACUUUCCCUCCUUUUCCAUCCAAUCACAAAAUUUGCUAAAAUGUUUUAUUCUUUAUCUUCUCUUAAAUCCCACAGCACUGCACCCUUCCCUUCCACCCUUUUCUGCUCCAGGCAGAAAAUUCCCCAUCAGCGUAGCAUUUCCCCCUGCCAUCACUCCAGCAGGUUAAUUGAACUUUCCUCUUCGGUGGUGGAGAGCGGCUCCAGCAGCAGGGAAACCGGCCCUCUGAAAAUAAGGACUGAGGCUUCCCAAGGUCUGGCUUGGGCAACAUCUGCACCAAGGACCCAGAGCUGGACCAGGGCUCACAUAGGCUCCAAAUUUCCUUUGGAAUGGAAAUCUCAAAACAUUCUGCUUUACAGCUCUGUAGCAAUGUCCCAGUGCACGUUAUAGAGAGCAGGCUGCUGUCGUGUUACCGGGGCAGAAGCACAGCUUGCACGAAGCUGCUACUGAGAAGCUAGUUAAAAUGCAAAAAUGCACAUAAACCCCCUCACCAAAUUCCCAAGUUAACCCUGAAAUUUAGAGAGUUCUACAGAAGUGUUUUGUCUCAAAGUACUGUGGGAACGUUCAUGGUUCUCCCCCUGCCCCAAAGACUUUCUCGAUCAGCUCCCUGCUCCCUUUAAGCCUGCGAGGUUGGGAACGCGGCCCCGAGCCCGGUGCCCUCCACCCGCCCGGCGCAGGAAGAGCCCUCUCCGCGCGCGAGGCGGGUGAGCCCGCGGCUGCUUCCCUGCUAGGUUGGAAGGGAUGCCAGGGACACACGUCUCAGGGAAACUAUUCAAGCGCACACGGCAAAACUCUUCCUGUGGGCCGGAAGAACACGCAGUAGGAAACCACCGCUUUGGUCGCGGCGCAGUCCCAAGCCGCGGGCUCGAGGGGAGCGGGCGCUUCCCCGCGCUCCACACAGGCACCGACCUGCUGCACUGCGAUCCCUGUCUGACUGCAGGGCUUUUCGGAGGUGGACGCGUGGAGGGGAGGCAGGAAGCGAAUCCCUGACCCACUUGUACGCACCUCUUUACAAGGUUCUGCAGCAGAAACAAAUCAAAGACAACCCCUGCAACAACAGCGUGCCCAGCACAUGGGGAACGUGGUUUUCAGCAGAUGGAAAAGAUGGAGCCAUGGGACAGAGACAGUGACAGCGGCUGGCUAAAGAGAGCGAUGGCUCAGAAUUGGGAUAGGCCAGCGAUGGGACCUCGCAGUUCUGAAUCCCUGCACCUGAGACAGGUUAUUUCUUUGGUUUAUCUGAAGAUAUCUUCCAAAUCUUUCCAAAUAUACAGCGGUGAAACACAAAGGAAUGAAGUCUGUCACAAUACACUCAAAAAACUGCAUCUGCAUGAAAGAACAUGCAAGGGAUCCUUCAAAGCCAGAGCUGCCCAGGAUGUUUUCUAGAGCUGCCUAGAUUUAUUUUCCAAAGCUUUUAAGUUGUUGAAACUGCAGAGCUGGCACCCCCAAGUGGUCACUCUAAGCCGCUUCGUGUGGUUUGAACACUGUCCAGUCAAUAGUUCACCCGCUGACACCUAAAGCGCAUCCCUCCCCGCGCGCAGGGAUUUUUGAGCUCCCCGAACGUCCGCUGCUGUCAGAGCGGACAGGGUAGAGUACAGCCCUCUGCUACAGCCGAGGUGUCAGCUCCAAGCACCGCCGCACGGGCGCCAAGGCUGAAUUGGAUACAAGGACACCUUCAAAGCAAUCUCCUCCAAUUCCGUUCUGCAACGGGGAGAAACCACUAUGGGACCUUCCCUUCCCGGAGGAAGGGUCACAAGCCACGAGGCCUUCCCACAGCCAGCACUCCUUAGGUACAGAGGGCUCAUUCUACUCAUUGACAGGGGCAGAGGAAAAACCGCGUGUGGGCUUCACAGUUCGGCACUGCGCUUGCACACAGCCCGCCGGCUUCCAGGCCGGCAGACCUCCUCCCUGCACGGACAGCAUAUCCUUCAGCCUUCCCUCCUUCUCCUCCUUUUAGAUUACAGACAGGAGAACAGGAGAAGUAGUACAGGCUAAACUUGUAAUUAUCUGCUAAGUUUCACUCACAGCCAUUAACAGCCACGGAGCAACUCUUACCACUCCCCAAGCAGCAAGCAACAGCAAGCGUUGAACCCAUUUUGCUAAUCCUGGUAGGGAGUGAACAUAGAAAUGAUGCGCUGAAACGUGAACAUCUCCUGCGAGUAACCCACAGGGAUCUCACCCUGCCACAUCUCACAGCACCGAUCAGCAAGAUGUACGAGCCACCGCAGACAAAAGGCUCGUUCAGAGCUUCAGCGCUGCAUCUGCGCAGUGUUGAAAUGAAGGAGGGAGUGAGUCAGAUCCUGAGGUGUCAGAAACACUUAAACUGUGUAUUAGUGGAAUCAAACUACGAACCGCUCUCGCUCUGUGCAACGCAAUGGCCCAGGCAGCACAGGGAGGCACCACAAUUACACGAGCGCUUCCAUGCCAAACAACUCACACAAGUAAAGCCGCAGGCGCAGAGGCGAGCGCGCCAGCCAGGUGGCACCCCGAGCAAGGGGCUUGAUGGCUCUUUCAGAACAGACAAAAAGCAGAUGUUUCACAAAAGCUCACUUUCCAGGUUUAUUAAGUAAAGUUAACUGAAUUGAU
Long non-coding RNA from Rhea pennata, 3416 nucleotides. RefSeq lists it as uncharacterized. Lineage: Eukaryota; Metazoa; Chordata; Aves; Rheiformes; Rheidae. The transcript has 3 exons. The record is from RefSeq and is a predicted model, not a curated record.